This 1037-nucleotide long non-coding RNA is filed under the name Homo sapiens (human). RNAcentral describes it as "HSALNT0351644". The record is from RNAcentral. Lineage: Eukaryota; Metazoa; Chordata; Mammalia; Primates; Hominidae.
GGUCACUAGGGCUGGAGGACACAGAACUUGGCCCCACACUUCCAUCAGACCUUGGUCCCCAGGGGAGAAGCCCUGGGGCAGCUCCUGCUAGUGCCACUCCCUUAACCCAGCCAAGGAACAGGGAGGGAGGAGCGGUGCUCAGCCAAUGAGGCGACGCCCUGGAGCCCCACCCCACCCAUGCUGGCCCCAGGACCCCAGCCCCAGGCCAGACCCUCCAGUGCUCCUGCUGACCUUCCGUGUCUGCAGCCCGGCUUUGGACUGUGGAGAUGCCCUCAGCCUCUACUCAGUGGCUCCAGCCUCAUAUUUGCGUGCUAUACCUUUAACCUCAAGUCCUCUUGCUGCUAACUUAAGCUGCGACUGUCCAGGACCUGCACACACACACACAUGCACGCAUGCACACACACACACACAGAAGCCCAGUUCCCUCUAGCUCCAGCACAGACUCUUAUCUCCAGCCCUGACUGCCGAAACCCUCCAGCCCCAGCUCCAGCCCCUCAGGAGGGGACUGCGUGGGAGGAAUGACUCCAGCAAGCCGGCAGCUGACCCGUCUCCUGCCUGCACGCCUCCCGCUGUGGUCCACUGCCGGUGGUCUUCAGCUCUCUCCUCGUCCCACCCCCAUGGUCUGCUGACAGCCCAGCUCAGUGCAUCCCUGCCAUCUCUGCUCUACCGCUGGUCCUCCCAACAACCAACUUACAGGGUUUCACUCCCGUCACCCAGACUGGAGUACAAUGGUGCGAUCUCAGCUCACUGCAACCUCUGCCUCCUGGGCUUAAGCGAUUCUCCUGCCUUGGCCUCCCAAGUAGCUGGGAUUACAGGUGCCUGCCACCACUCCUGGCUAAUUUUUGUAUUUUUUGUAAAGGCGGAGUUUCUCCAUGUUGCCCAGGCUAGUCUCAAACUCCUGAGCUCAAGCAAUCCACCCGCCUCGGCCUCCCAAAUAAGUGGAAUUAUAGGUGUGAGCCACCACGCCGGCCCUGAUGUAUCAAUAUUAAAACAUUUUCUUCAGCCUACAAGUUCUUCUUUUUCUUAUUUGGAUGCAA